UCUCGGCUUAUCACCGGCAGUCCCCUUAGAGUGCCCAACUUAAUGCUAGCAACUAAUGACAAGGGUUGCGCUCGUUGCGGGACUUAACCCAACAUCUCACGGCACGAGCUGACGACAGCCAUGCAGCUCCUAACCACAGGUUCUCCGAAGAGCACCCCGACUUUUCAACCAGGUCCCUGUGUUUUCUAGCCCAGGUAAGGUUCUUCGCGUUGCGUCGAAUUAAACCACAUGCUCCACCGCUUGUGCGGGCCCCCGUCAAUUCCUUUGAGUUUCAGUCUUGCGACCGUACUCCCCAGGCGGCGAACUUAACGCGUUAGCUUCGACACUGAUCUCCGAGUUGAGACCAACAUCCAGUUCGCAUCGUUUAGGGCGUGGACUAC
Molecule: unclassified non-coding RNA, 380 nt
Filed under: uncultured Pseudomonadota bacterium
Lineage: Bacteria; Pseudomonadati; Pseudomonadota
Description: uncultured proteobacterium contains 16S-23S intergenic spacer region
Source: RNAcentral